Molecule: ribosomal RNA, 512 nt
Filed under: uncultured bacterium
Lineage: Bacteria
Description: partial 16S ribosomal RNA
Rfam family: Bacterial small subunit ribosomal RNA
Source: RNAcentral
GAUGAACGCUGGCGGCGUGCCUAAUACAUGCAAGUCGAACGAAACUUCUUUAUCACCGAGUGCUUGCACUCACCGAUAAAGAGUUGAGUGGCGAACGGGUGAGUAACACGUGGGCAACCUGCCCAAAAGAGGGGGAUAACACUUGGAAACAGGUGCUAAUACCGCAUAACCAUAGUUACCGCAUGGUAACUAUGUAAAAGGUGGCUAUACUACCGCUUUUGGAUGGGCCCGCGGCGCAUUAGCUAGUUGGUAGGGUAAAGGCUUACCAAGGCAAUGAUGCGUAGCCGAAUUGAGAGGUUGAUCGGCCACAUUGGGACUGAGACACGGCCCAAACUCCUACGGGAGGCAGCAGUAGGGAAUCUUCCACAAUGGGCGAAAGCCUGAUGGAGCAACGCCGCGUGGGUGAAGAAGGUCUUCGGAUCGUAAAACCCUGUUGUUAGAGAAGAAAGUGCGUGAGAGUAACUGUUCACGUUUCGACGGUAUCUAACCAGAAAGCCACGGCUAACUACGCG